UUUAAUUGUGAAUAAAUCUUCUUCUUGAGGAGGUCUAUCUUGAGAGUGACUCUUUGAGAUGCCCUAGGAUUGAUCUUGAAGUGUUUGAGAGGGGUUAGGACUUCUUUAUUUUAAAUCUUGAAUUUCUGCACUUUCCCGCUUCUGCUGUAUUUUCUGCUGUCAACGUGAUUGGGGCGGUGAUUUGGGCAGAUCGCUGCCCCAAUCGCUUUCUGUGAGUCAGUCCAGUUUUUAGCUUUCUGUCUCUGCUUCCUCCGCUUGAUUUGGGCAGUGAUUUGGGCAAAUCGUCAUGCCCAAAUCAUUUCUGCGUGUUGCCUCCGGGUUUCU
Molecule: long non-coding RNA, 324 nt
Filed under: Manihot esculenta (cassava)
Lineage: Eukaryota; Viridiplantae; Streptophyta; Magnoliopsida; Malpighiales; Euphorbiaceae
Description: long non-coding RNA (MESC_LNC005549)
Source: RNAcentral